RNAcentral lists this ribosomal RNA (468 nucleotides) under uncultured bacterium. Its description in RNAcentral is "partial 16S ribosomal RNA". It matches the Rfam family "Bacterial small subunit ribosomal RNA", at positions 28 to 507 of the family's 1533-position model. The record is from RNAcentral.
GACGAACGCUGGCGGCGUGCUUAACACAUGCAAGUCGAACGGAAAGGCCCUGCUUUUGUGGGGUGCUCGAUUGGCGAACGGGUGAGUAACACGUGAGUAACCUGCACUUGACUUUGGGAUAACUUCAGGAAACUGGGGCUAAUACCGGAUAGGAGCUCCUGCUGCAUGGUGGGGGUUGGAAAGUUUCGGCGGUUGGGGAUGGACUCGCGGCUUAUCAGCUUGUUGGUGGGGUAGUGGCUUACCAAGGCUUUGACGGGUAGCCGGCCUGAGAGGGUGACCGGCCACAUUGGGACUGAGAUACGGCCCAGACUCCUACGGGAGGCAGCAGUGGGGAAUAUUGCACAAUGGGCGGAAGCCUGAUGCAGCAACGCCGCGUGCGGGAUGACGGCCUUCGGGUUGUAAACCGCUUUCGCCUGUGACGAAGCGUGAGUGACGGUAAUGGGUAAAGAAGCACCGGCUAACUACGUG